UACGUAGGGUGCGAGCGUUAAUCGGAAUUACUGGGCGUAAAGCGUGCGCAGGCGGUUUCACAAGCUCGAUGUGAAAGCCCCGGGCUUAACCUGGGAAUGGCAUUGAGGACUGUGGAGCUUGAGUGCGGCAGAGGGAGGUGGAAUUCCACGUGUAGCAGUGAAAUGCGUAGAGAUGUGGAGGAACACCGAUGGCGAAGGCAGCCUCCUGGGCCGACACUGACGCUCAUGCACGAAAGCGUGGGGAGCAAACAGG
RNAcentral lists this ribosomal RNA (253 nucleotides) under uncultured bacterium. RNAcentral describes it as "partial 16S ribosomal RNA". It matches the Rfam family "Bacterial small subunit ribosomal RNA", at positions 524 to 776 of the family's 1533-position model. The record is from RNAcentral. RNAcentral also lists the same sequence under 1 other name.